Molecule: non-coding RNA, 303 nt
Filed under: Ferrimonas marina
Lineage: Bacteria; Pseudomonadati; Pseudomonadota; Gammaproteobacteria; Alteromonadales; Ferrimonadaceae
Description: cspA thermoregulator
Rfam family: cspA thermoregulator
Source: Rfam by way of RNAcentral
AGCAAAUUGCGUGCAAUGUAAACACUAUCUCGAUUCAGGAGAGGCUAUGUCUCAAGCAACAGGCACCGUUAAGUGGUUUAACGACGAUAAAGGUUACGGCUUCAUCAGCCAGGACAACGGUGGCGGUGACGUAUUCGUUCACUUCCGCGCUAUCCAAGGCGACGGCUUCAAGUCCCUGGCCGAAGGCCAGGCUGUGAAGUUCGACGUUGAGCAAGGUCCCAAGGGCCCGCAAGCUGCGAACGUUGUGCGUCUGUAAUUAACAGCGCGCAAUAAAAAACAGGACGCCAUGGCGUCCUGUUUUUG